UCAGACAUGGUGUAGCAGGAACACAGUCUCCUUUCAUUGUACUCAACAUACCCCCAGUUGCAGAGGCAGUCCAGGGUUCGAAUCCCUGUGUCUGAA
Mycena vulgaris is the source of this 96-nucleotide non-coding RNA. Lineage: Eukaryota; Fungi; Basidiomycota; Agaricomycetes; Agaricales; Mycenaceae. The record is from the annotation of a GenBank genome assembly.